RNAcentral lists this signal recognition particle RNA (100 nucleotides) under Luoshenia tenuis. RNAcentral describes it as "Bacterial small signal recognition particle RNA". It matches the Rfam family "Bacterial small signal recognition particle RNA". From Rfam's summary of the family: The signal recognition particle (SRP) is a universally conserved ribonucleoprotein involved in the co-translational targeting of proteins to membranes. Archaeal SRP consists of a 7S RNA and homologues of the eukaryotic SRP19 and SRP54 proteins. The record is from Rfam by way of RNAcentral. Lineage: Bacteria; Bacillati; Bacillota; Clostridia; Christensenellales; Christensenellaceae.
UGCCGGGCCCCGUGCAACAGACCGCCGUGAACCCUGUCAGGACCGGAAGGUAGCAGCAGUAAGCGGAUGUGGCUGUGUGCCGCGGGUCAACCUGGCAGCA